Molecule: long non-coding RNA, 3580 nt
Filed under: Physcomitrium patens
Lineage: Eukaryota; Viridiplantae; Streptophyta; Bryopsida; Funariales; Funariaceae
Description: long non-coding RNA (PPAT_LNC011121)
Source: RNAcentral
AUGAAUACCAUUUUGAUUUAUGAGUUAAAAUUACAUAAACUAUAUGUUUUUUUUUUAUCACUUUAUUAGAUUCUUACAAAUAUUAUAUAUAAUUUUUUGUUUUUAUAAUUUAUAGUAUAAAAGACUAUUAUUACCACAUUUCUGCCAUUUUUUAUAUAAAAACUUGUAGCUGGUAUAAAAAUAACAUUGCCUUAUAAUUCUUGAAAUUUUGAUAAUUGAAAUGAUAUAUUUAUUUAUAAAAUAUUAAUAAAGACAAUUAAAGUCCCUAACAUACAAGUUUUGGAGUUGAUUAACAUUUUGCAUACAGAAUCACAAAAGUCUAAAAGCAUUGUUAUAUAUAUAUUUUAGCCAUUAAUCAAAAUUAUAAUCAUUAAAUAAUUUGAAAUAAAUAAGAUGUAUUAAAUAAUUAUGUAUUAUUUAUAUCUUUAAUUUUAUAUAUCUAAGAAUUUAAUACCAAAUUAAUAUGUUUCUUCUUCAUUUAAAAAUAUUGUCGAUUUUUAGGCAUUCAAUACUGCUACUCUUAUGAUUUGAGAUUUUGCAUAUUUUAACUCAAGAUAAUUUUAAAAUUUUGAUAAAUUUAGAAUAAUAAAUAUUGCAAUGAUCUUGAAUUUUUUGCUUUGCAUUUAUUUAGAUGUAUCUAAAAAUAUUAUUAUAAAAUUAGAGAUAUCCUUGAUAUUAUUAAAAAAUUAGAAUAAAAUUUGGUGAUAUACUAUAUUAUUUUAUAAAUAUUUGUACAGAUAGUCCUUCUCUAUGCAUGCAAAACUUAUGUAAAAUGCUUAAGUUACUUACAACAUUUGUUAUGUAAAUACUUUGUCGAUGAGUUUUAAUAUAACUAUAACAUUUACAUUCCACGAUAACCAAAAUAUAAAAAAUCAUAUCUAUAUAUGAUUAAAACAACACAUUAUGAAUAAUUACACUGAUUUUAUUUAAUACCGUCUAUAAAAGAAAAAUAUCUAACAAAUAAUAAAAUUAAUCAUUGUAAAUUUGAACAUUGAUAGGCUCUAUACCAAAAAACGUUUGAAAUGAAAAAAUCAAUAGAUCUUUUUACAAAAGUGAGUAAAUUAGAACUUAUUAUUUUCUAAGAAUGUUAGAUUGAUUAAUUGAUUUUUUUUUUAUUUAUUUUUAAAUCAAAGAGAAACACUGUCAUAGGUCAAAUAUUGAUACAAACGCUUAUGCAGGAAUUUCAUAAAGGUUGUGUUUUUCAAAAUACAUGUGGACUAUGAUGUGAGAUACAAAAAUAGUUCAAAAAGAAAAAAGAGAAUAAAAACCUAUUCAAAGAAUAAAUCCUAAAAUAAAAACAAUAUUUUUGAAAAGCAAGCUAACCAUAAUUUUAGUUUUGUUGAGUAUAAUAUCUAAAACUGUAAAUGGCAUUGUGACAUUUAAAUCACAUAAGGGUAUGUUGAAUGAAUUUAUUUACAAUUAAAGAAUGAAAUCAUUACUGAUUAUUUAACAAAGCAAUGGAUAAAAUUGGUUGCACAAACUUUCAACAACAUAUUCCAAUUUGGUUAUUUGAAAAGAAUUUAUUGGCACAUGCACACAACAAAAGGGAUUGAUGAUAAGAUGUUAUUGACAUUGGGUGAAGCAUUGGAACAUAAAGCGCACCAAAAUGGCACAUUUGUACAAACAAAGUGACUUAAUCCAAUGCAACACAAUGACUUGUAGACAAAGAACAAGAAUGCAUGGAAUAAUGUGUGAACAAAGGGUAAUAUGACAGAAUGAAAGAAUGAAACAAGGAAUGACACAAAGAAUGAGCAAGAGUUGUGGACCUCACAUUAAAUUGACAAAGAAGAGACAAAGAUGACAAUGGGAUUAUGCCAAAGUCUCCUUGACUUAUAUUCAUACUUAAUAGAAUCUAUGUAUGGCUGGCAUUCUAAUACCCUACCUUUCAAACUGGGGUUUAAUGUAGACUAUUCAUGUGUUGACAAUUUGUAUAAAAAAAGAAUGACAUAAUUUAGAUUAUCAAAAAAUCCAAUUGUGUAAAUAAUAUCAUUUUGUGUGUGUGUGUGUGUAUUUGUUUGUUUGUUUGUAGGAGGUAGAUUUUUUUGGUGAAAGUACUUGACAUACAGACUACUCAUUUAAAAAAUUGAGUUAGUUAUAUGUGUGUACCCACAUGUACUACUCGGAAUGAGUUAGUUAUAUGUUUCAAUAUUCAUCAACGUUUACUUUGAAAGUUUUAAUAUUAUUGACAAAUCAUUGUAAUAAAAGUUUUCAAUUCAUAAUCAUCUCUGUGAAAGAAUCUGGCAUUUUUUUUUUUUUUAAAUUAUUUAUUCAUAUUUCAAUUUUUAAUGUUUUACUUUGAUUUGUUUCUAAUGAAAGAGUGUCAUAUUACAUUGCAAUCAUUAGCUGUAAUAAAAUAUACAUACACACACAUACAUACCAGAAUUGCUAUGUUCCUCUCAAAUGUUUAUUUUGGGUGUACCUUAAGUUCAAAUAGGAAUAUAUAUGUAUAUAUAUCAUACUAAAUUGAAGGAUUUAACUUUAAACAACAAGUGUCAUAUAAUUUAAAAUUGUGUCAAAGUUUGCAUGCACCAAUGCAACAUAUUUUAACGUUUAAUUUUUUGGAUUACUUAUUUUUUUUGACAUAAUUUAACAUUGACAUGUGGUUUGUGUAGAAACAACUCAAAUUUUUAUGGGAAUGCUUAUAUUAUUCAAUUGUAGCAAACAAACAAUUAAAUGAUUGUUGAAUCAAUAUUGGCAACAUAAUUAUUAAUGCUAGCUGCAUUAAAUAGUGAUGAAAACUUAUUGCAGAACUUGUGAGUAGACAGGUGGUAAUUAUAUUCCAAUAUGUUGGUGAAAAUUUAUUGAUCUAGACAUUUUAAUAUAUUUAUCAUCAUACAUACAUGUGUAUUCAUUUGGUGGGUGUCCCAAUCUAACAUUCUGAAAUUAAUAUACUUAUACUAGAAAAAUAAUUGUGUCUUUUAAGUAUUUUUGUAAUUUUCAACUUUAAACCAUUAAUGGAGGACACGAGCAUGAAAUUUCAAAUAUUAAACUCUAAUUUAACUUUUAAAAGUUUCACUCUAUCAAUGAAAUUGCGAAUUUCAAUGUUCAAUCACACCAUACAAGCAUACGAAAAUUUAAACCAGUCAAAAGACAGUUAAAGAAACAAAAAAAAAUAUCAACAAUAUUAUAUAUAUAUAUAUAUAUAUAUAUAUACCAUAAAAUCAUACAAUAGCUGUGCAAAAUAUGAACAAGACAUGACAGAACAUAUAUAUAUAUAUAUAUACAUAUGGGAAUGUCAAAUUGACCCCAGCUUUUGCUGAAUCAACCCACUUAUCAAAACCAUCAUUAUCAAAAGCUUUAUUAUAAAAAUGUUUUGUGACUAAAUGUUACUAAUGUUGCAUUGCAAUUUUCUAAUUGCAUUUAAAAGAUAAUACAUCUUGUUUUAAUUUAAACACUAUCGGAUUACUUGAUUGUGUUUUACAUGCACGUAGAGUCUAAAAAGUUUCAACUUAGAUUUUAAAAGUCUUUUAAAAUAGACGUCAUGCGUAAAAUUCAUGGCUUUGUGGUUCAUAGUUUGUUUCUCAAGUAAGGAACAUGAAUUCCUUUGAAAGUUGAAUAUCAUUUUCUAAAAAAUGGAAAU